This is a long non-coding RNA of Ochotona princeps (American pika), 712 nucleotides long. RefSeq lists it as uncharacterized. NCBI's taxonomy places the organism in Eukaryota, Metazoa, Chordata, Mammalia, Lagomorpha, Ochotonidae. The record is from RefSeq and is a predicted model, not a curated record. The transcript has 3 exons.
UAAUCAGCCUUCACAAGGACAGAGCUGUGACCCCACUAAUCAGCUUGUGCCACCUAAUCCAUCUCCAGUAGCAGCGUGUGAGAGCUGGCCGGGGCCAUCUUGCUGGCCAGCCUGCGCCUUCCCCUGUGGACGCGGCCCGGGAGGGGAUGGGGCAGCAGAGCCAUGUGUACCACACUCUUUAUACUCAGCACCCUGGCCAUGCUCUGUCGCCGCUGGCUCGCCAACCGGGUCCAACCGUGAGAAACGGGCCAGGUUAUGGGUGGCUGGGGAUGGAGGCUGGGGAGGGGGCCGACUGAGCUGGGCUUGCAAGCGUUGCAGAGGGGGAGGGAAGCAAGUGGUCCAGGAAGGCUGAAAGGUACUGGGGUUGCAGCCUCCUGCCCAGAGUCCAGUGUGGCAUAACCAUGGGGAGGAGUAGGGCAGGGGGCUGGGCAUUGCCCACAGUUCUCCUGCCCACCCUUUGCUUUCACAGAGAGCCCAGUGCAGUGGAUGGAGCCGUAACCAAGAGCUCAGACGCAGAUCUCCAGUGUACCAGCAGGGAGGAAGACCCUCAGAAGUAAGCCCUCCUCUCUUCAGAAUGAGCUCGGCCCCCAAGACCUGGCUCAGCUGGCCCGUGCAGCCCAAGCUCUGCUCUAUGCCCCUGCCCGGAGAGGAUCCUGCCUGGGAGGAAGCAGCAGCAAGCGGUGGGAUGGGAGAGGAGCGGCCACCAGCCCCC